RNAcentral lists this ribosomal RNA (253 nucleotides) under uncultured bacterium. RNAcentral describes it as "partial 16S ribosomal RNA". It matches the Rfam family "Bacterial small subunit ribosomal RNA", at positions 524 to 776 of the family's 1533-position model. The record is from RNAcentral.
UACAGAGGGGGCAAGCGUUGUUCGGAAUUACUGGGCGUAAAGGGCGCGUAGGCGGCCUGCUAAGUCGAACGUGAAAUCCCUGGGCUCAACCCAGGAACUGCGUCCGGUACUGGUUGGCUUGAAUCCGGGAGAGGGAUGCGGAAUUCCAGGUGUAGCGGUGAAAUGCGUAGAUAUCUGGAGGAACAUCGGUGGCGAAGGCGGCAUCCUGGACCGGUAUUGACGCUGAGGCGCGAAAGCCAGGGGAGCAAACGGG